CUGUAUCACCAUACUACUCUGAACUCACUGAUUUCAUUUGAUUUCAGAAGCUAAGCAAGGUAGAACUUGGUUAGCAGUUGGAUCAGAUAAUACCAGAACUCUCCAGCUAGGGCUUGGAAAGGAUCCUGC
This 129-nucleotide ribosomal RNA is filed under the name Pogona vitticeps (central bearded dragon). Lineage: Eukaryota; Metazoa; Chordata; Lepidosauria; Squamata; Agamidae. The record is from RNAcentral.